UACGUAGGGGGCAAGCGUUGUCCGGAAUUAUUGGGCGUAAAGAGCGUGUAGGCGGCCAGGUAGGUCGGUUGUGAAAACUGGAGGCUCAACCUUCAGAGGUCGACCGAAACCAUCUGGCUAGAGUCCGGGAGAGGAGAGUGGAAUUCCUGGUGUAGCGGUGAAAUGCGCAGAUAUCAGGAAGAACACCAAUGGCGAAAGCAGCUCUCUGGGACGGUACUGACGCUGAGACGCGAAAGCGUGGGGAGCGAACAGG
Molecule: ribosomal RNA, 253 nt
Filed under: uncultured bacterium
Lineage: Bacteria
Description: partial 16S ribosomal RNA
Rfam family: Bacterial small subunit ribosomal RNA
Source: RNAcentral